This 517-nucleotide ribosomal RNA is filed under the name uncultured Glomus. Its description in RNAcentral is "SSU rRNA". It matches the Rfam family "Eukaryotic small subunit ribosomal RNA", at positions 569 to 1088 of the family's 1831-position model. The record is from RNAcentral. Lineage: Eukaryota; Fungi; Glomeromycota; Glomeromycetes; Glomerales; Glomeraceae.
AGCAGCCGCGGUAAUUCCAGCUCCAAUAGCGUAUAUUAAAGUUGUUGCAGUUAAAAAAGCUCGUAGUUGAAUUUCGAGAUCAAAUUGUUGGUCGUGCCUUGGUACGUACUGGCAUUAUUGGUUUCUCCCUUCUGACGAACCAUGAUGUCAUUAAUUUGGUGUCUUGGGGAAUCAGGACUGUUACUUUGAAAAAAAUUAGAGUGUUUAAAGCAGGCUCACGCUUGAAUACAUUAGCAUGGAAUAAUGAAAUAGGACGUUUGAUUCUAUUUUGUUGGUUUCUAGGAUCGACGUAAUGAUUAAUAGGGAUAGUUGGGGGCAUUAGUAUUCAAUUGUCAGAGGUGAAAUUCUUGGAUUUAUUGAAGACUAACUACUGCGAAAGCAUUUGCCAAGGAUGUUUCAUUAAUCAAGAACGAAAGUUAGGGGAUCGAAGACGAUCAGAUACCGUCGUAGUCUUAACCAUAAACUAUGCCGACUAGGGAUCGGAUGAUGUUAAUUUUUAAUGACUCAUUCGGCGUCC